AUUGAACGCUGGCGGAAUGCUUUACACAUGCAAGUCGAACGGUAGAGGGGGCAACCCCUUGAGAGUGGCGAACGGGUGAGUAAUAUAUCGGAACGUGCCCAGUCGUGGGGAUAACGUAGCGAAAGUUACGCUAAUACCGCAUACGAUCUACGGAUGAAAGCGGGGGACUCGCAAGAGCCUCGCGCGAUUGGAGCGGCCGAUAUCAGAUUAGGUAGUUGGUGGGGUAAAGGCUCACCAAGCCAACGAUCUGUAGCUGGUCUGAGAGGACGACCAGCCACACUGGAACUGAGACACGGUCCAGACUCCUACGGGAGGCAGCAGUGGGGAAUUUGGACAAUGGACGCAAGUCUGAUCCAGCCAUUCCGCGUGCAGGAUGAAGGCCCUCGGGUUGUAAACUGCUUUUGUACGGAACGAAAAGGUUUCUAUUAAUACUAGGAGCUCAUGACGGUACCGUAAGAAUAAGCACCGGCUAACUACGUGCCAGCAGCCGCGGU
Molecule: ribosomal RNA, 494 nt
Filed under: uncultured bacterium
Lineage: Bacteria
Description: bacterial SSU rRNA
Rfam family: Bacterial small subunit ribosomal RNA
Source: RNAcentral